AUGUUGGGGGGAUGCUGAACCCCACCCCUGUGGGAUACUGAGAGACCGUCACAUGGCCACUACGGCUGUCAGCAGUAACAAUGCCGUUUAUUGAAUGCCUGCUUCAUGCUCGCUGCAGUUCAUUUCCUGUUCGUGGCUUAGAGCGCGCUGCGCACGUGCCUGGCUCACUCUCUGGGUCCAGAUGUUAAUACCGGUGCUAACCAUUGAGCGGCUGCUGUGGGCUGGACCGUGUAGGGUUGAUUCAUUGCUUUAUUUAACUAGCACUGUUCCAUGAAUCGGAGGCUGUUUUGGUCCAUGUUUUACACGGUAAGACAGAAUUCAGAGAGCAGUGGCUUGCCCUGGUUAGAGAGAUCGCCAGAUAAGUGAUGUUAUUGGCUUCCAAAGCAUGCGUGCCUUCUUCUCAAUGCUCAAAAAGCCCAUCAGUUGACCUUAUACAUGUGUUAUGAACUGAAAGGAAAAAAAAAACAUAUAGAAAAGUAGCCCCAAGCUCCGGGCUCUCAGCAGGCAGCCCCAGAGGCAGGCAGUGUCAUUAGGAAAAUACAUCCUGUCUGUUGAUGGAGUUAUUUGAGGUUCAGCACCUUUGAUCAGCACUGCCAAAUUCAAAACACUUUUCUGGCCUGCUGCUGAACCCUGGCUCCCUCCCAGGCUGCCAGUGCCCUGCUGGACAUAGGCAUGUGAGACUGAGAGCCAGGCACUGCCUGUGAGUGGCUUCAUGACUCCAUCUAACCAGGAUGGAGGGAAUGCAGGAGCAAAAACCUAAAGAACAACACCUGCUGCUAGCUGCAGUGUGCACAUGCGUGUGGAAAGUGUUCACCCCAUACACAUGUGUGUGUGUGUGUACACACGUAUACAUGCUUGAACAUUCACCUUACCCACAAACAUACAUACAUAUUUACAGUCAGGAACAUCUACACGUGUGCACAUAUACUGUGAACAUGCAUACACUCAAUACAUAUGUGUAUAUAUUGUGUGUGUAAAUAUAUAUGCACACAUCUCUGCUCUCAUUUGUUUCUCCACUCCAUCCAUGGGUGCCACACACUCUGUCCAGUGUCCUCCUUUCAUUUGGUCACAUGGUCAUCUUCUUACAAUGCCAUCAGCCCUGUUGGUUUGGGGCUACCUUCCUCCUGUUGACCGCAUUGCCUCCUGAGUGUCUGUCACAAGGCCAUAGUCGGAAGCGUUGGACAGGGGCUGUGCACAGGACAGGACUCACCUCAAAUAACCCAGGGAAGAACUUUUAUCUCACUUGUUGGAGAGAGUAAUGAUGUCCCCAGGAGCCCAGCUCUGUGCCUAGGUGCUAUAAACCCAGACCUGGCUAAUGUUGGCACUGGGGGAUACCCCAGAAUCCUUCUCACAACAGCACAGAGAAAAACAUGCAAGCCUGCUUGUGCUCAGCCACCCUCUUAGCAAAUGGCCUCUGUCAGGGAGAAGGAACUUCCGUGGAAAGAUAGUGGGGGGCGAGGGGGGCAGAAGGAAAAGUAAGAAAAGAGAAGAAUUCGGUAUAGGAGAGGAGGUCCUCACGUGCUGGAUUCUGGGCAGCAGACAAAGCCAUAGCUAUUUCAGUGACCCCUGGAGUCCUAGAUGGAUUGUACAAACUCAACCAUAAAUCUCCCCAGUGUGUGGCCUGUGACUAGGUCCCUGUCUUACAUACCUGACUUGACCUGCCUCUGAGAAGUUCUGCCUGGGAAGGAGGCCGGGAAGGGCCCAGUGGUUGGCAGUCACAAGGCUAAGCUCAAACUUGGCAGUGCUGUGACAUUCCAAGGAUAGGAGCCAGAUAGGCUGGCAGGGAGGAACCACCAGGUCCUGCCUUGACGUUGACUCCACUGGGCAAUGAAUGGUAUGUGGCAUGCCAAUGUUCAGUGUCUCCAGAGGACCUUGUGUCUCCCUUCCUUUGACAGAUGAGGGAGUGUUCCUUCAGCAGGUGUGUAUACAAGCUGUGUGGUGCAUCUCAGUUUAAUACUAGCUUGGGGAGCACCAGAUGGAGUCACACAGCAUUCAGUAGUUCAGAUAGACCUCUGGGUUCCCAAAGCCCUGAGUACCAUCCCCCCACACCCCCACCAUGUACCACACCUUACAAUCUGAAAAAGGAGCCUCUGCCAUAAUGAGCGUGUGUGCCAUUUCAAACUAAAAGUCCAGGUUUGUGGGAGAGAGACCUGUGCUCCAAUCCUGACCGUCGCCACGGGAGCGCUUUCUCUGGUCCCCCAUCCUGGUGUCUGAGCAGAAUGGAGAAACCCCCAAGGUUCUGUCUACCUCAGAAGCAGAAGCUUUGGAGGAGAUGGAACUGGGCUUGGGUUUGGUCUGAGACCCUCCUUGUGGGUGAAUUCAGCAAUUCCAUGGGCCGUAGUAACUGCGUAUGUGUCCGGCCCUGGGUUUUACC
RNAcentral lists this long non-coding RNA (2374 nucleotides) under Mus musculus (house mouse). Its description in RNAcentral is "long non-coding RNA chr5:113554135-113556509". The record is from RNAcentral. Lineage: Eukaryota; Metazoa; Chordata; Mammalia; Rodentia; Muridae.